Trifolium pratense (red clover) is the source of this 1315-nucleotide long non-coding RNA. RefSeq lists it as uncharacterized. Lineage: Eukaryota; Viridiplantae; Streptophyta; Magnoliopsida; Fabales; Fabaceae. The record is from RefSeq and is a predicted model, not a curated record. The transcript has 2 exons.
CUCUCUCUUUCUUGGCAACUACAAGUCCCUUUUAGUCUUUACAGUUUCCACUAAUUCUUUCUUUAUAAACUCUCAUUGUCUUGCUUCUACUAAGCUCAAGUAUCAAUAAAAACAUACCAGAUUUAGGGUUUUCUGGCAACAUACUUUUGAGCAAUAGCUAGGUCUAAGCUAAUAAGGAAGGAGUAUAUAUCUGCAUGUUGGUAUUUGAUUCUACAAAGCUAUGGCAGGGAAAAAGAGUGAAGGAGCUUCCUACAGCCCAACCAUAUAUAUGGAUAUAUGAGGAAAAUUUAACAAAGUUAAGGGUUGCUAAAUUAACUUUUGAUUCAUUCAUAUAAUUAAGUACUUAGGCUUUAUUUGGAUUAAACAAAUUAAUUAAACAUUUUUUUAGUAUAAAUACUUAUCAUACUAAGUACUUAUGUUCCUUAAUAAAAAAAAAUAGUAAGUACUUAUGUAUAAAUUAUUUCUAUAUAAAAAAAAAUUAUAUAUAAGUAAGGUUAUUUUUGUAUAAUAUAGAUUCUCUCUAAAGGUGAAUAAUAUUAUUUAUAAUAAAUUUUAAUAAAAUAUUUUUGUUCUCCAACUAUUAUUAUUAUUAAUUUAAUUUUUUGUAAAAUAGUAAAAAAAAUUCUUUGAACUACUUCUAAGAGGUCUAUAUUAGACGUACACACUCAUAAUUUAUAAAUUAUUUUCAUAAGUAAUUCUUCGAUUUAUUUAAAUAUAUUUUGUAUAAGUUGAAAAACAAUAUCUUCAUAAGCAAUUCUUCGAUUUAUAUAAGUCGAAAAACAAUAUCUUUUGUUCGGCGAAUAUAGAUAAAGAAAUUAAAAAAUGUGUAUUCAUAAACUUUCUUAAACACUCUAAUCUCAAUUAUUUAUCCUACAUAUAAACUCAAAUAAGUCAAUUUUAACAAGUCAUUAGCUGCAGAGUGACCAAGCAAGCAAUAUUAUAAUUUGGUAUAGUAAUUAAUUAUGUGAAUGAAUUGAAGAUGAAGAUAGUAAUUUUUGCACCCACUUUUUCUCUAUGGUGGGUUGGACUGAAGGGAGCUCCUUCUUUCUUUCUUUCUUUCUUUCUGUUGGCACCAUUUGUGUAAGCAUUAUGUAUGAUGAAAUGGCUUUAAUAUGCAUGUCUCAGCUUAUUGCCUUCUAUAUAGUAAGCUUUAGCAUAUAAAAGGUAAAGACAGUACAGGUACUGUUGUUGAUGUUACAUUACAUAUCGUCUUCUAGCUCUUUGUAAGUAUUUACUCUUUUUACUAUUGCUGCACAAGAUUCAGGAAACAUAUAUCUGAACAGUUUCCAUGUGAAUUUAAUACUUUCUUGACCAA